UACAGAGGUCCCGAGCGUUGUUCGGAUUCACUGGGCGUAAAGGGUGCGUAGGCGGUUCUGCAAGUCUGAUGUGAAAUCUCCGGGCCCAACCCGGAAAUGGCAUUAGAAACUGCAGGGCUAGAGGCUUGGAGGGGGAACUGGAAUGCUCGGUGUAGCAGUGAAAUGCGUAGAGAUCGAGCGGAACACCAGUGGCGAAGGCGAGUUCCUGGACAAGACCUGACGCUGAGGCACGAAAGCGUGGGGAGCAAACAGG
This 253-nucleotide ribosomal RNA is filed under the name uncultured bacterium. RNAcentral's name for it is "partial 16S ribosomal RNA". It matches the Rfam family "Bacterial small subunit ribosomal RNA", at positions 524 to 776 of the family's 1533-position model. The record is from RNAcentral.